UACGUAGGGUGCAAGCGUUAAUCGGAAUUACUGGGCGUAAAGCGUGCGCAGGCGGUUUUGUAAGACAGAGGUGAAAUCCCCGGGCUCAACCUGGGAACUGCCUUUGUGACUGCAUAGCUAGAGGACGGCAGAGGGGGAUGGAAUUCCGCGUGUAGCAGUGAAAUGCGUAGAUAUGCGGAGGAACACCGAUGGCGAAGGCAAUCCCCUGGGCCUGUCCUGACGCUCAUGCACGAAAGCGUGGGGAGCAAACAGG
This 253-nucleotide ribosomal RNA is filed under the name uncultured bacterium. Its description in RNAcentral is "partial 16S ribosomal RNA". It matches the Rfam family "Bacterial small subunit ribosomal RNA", at positions 524 to 776 of the family's 1533-position model. The record is from RNAcentral.